This is a long non-coding RNA of Ornithodoros turicata, 1288 nucleotides long. RefSeq lists it as uncharacterized. The record is from RefSeq and is a predicted model, not a curated record. The transcript is spliced from 4 exons. NCBI's taxonomy places the organism in Eukaryota, Metazoa, Arthropoda, Arachnida, Ixodida, Argasidae.
UCUCAUCGUUUACAUCCGCUAUAAGAGCUGCCUUUUGCCACUUCAAAAUGACAGAGUGGUCUUCGGACCUUUCUGGUCUUCCCGUGUUGCCUGUAGAUUUCACAGAGCAGUACAGUGCGAGCAAAUCUUCGUCCAACAAGCACAGGAACCGGAGUUAUAAUUUCGUAACCGAGUCGUACGUUCUUGUGUCAACACUACGGACGAAGAAACUACCAAGGGCCAGCUGUUCAGUACGCUCACUGUAGCUGUCCAGCAGGAAGCGGAGGGUACUGCCACCACCUUCUGGCGGUACUACGGGUCCUAUCGAAGCUGAAAAGCCUCGGGUACAAUGAACCGCCGCAAGAACUGGCACCAACGGAACUCCCACAACAAUGGAGGCGACCACGCACAUCAAUGGCACCCGAAAUUGUUAUGAAUGUUAACUGGCGUAGAGUUGCAGAAGGUUGCUCAGAAGCCCCUUUGCCAUGCAGGCUCUAUGACACUCGUAAGCGUGUGCGCACGGAGGACCAAAAGCGAGAGGCCUCACAGACACUAGCAGUCAGGUUACAAGAAGCAGGUUGCAGUACUAGUCUUGUGGAUGUUCUCGGUUCAGCCUCAAGUUGUUCAUUAUACUGCACUGGUUUCCCUUGGGAGACUUCAUGCUGUACAAUCUGGUCCCAUACCAAUCUUCACCUUAUUUAAGGAUGAACCACAGUGGACGCCUCCUCAAGAUGUGGCUCACGUCUCGACUCUGAAGAACAUAUGUUUGUCAGAAGAAGAGGCAAGGGAUAUGGAAAGGGACACCAGGCAGCAGUUCAACAGCUCUCUAUGGCAAAAAGCACGGCUAAAUAGGCUGACAGCAUCAAGAUUCGACAUGGUGCUGAGACGUAAGCAACCGUGGACAAAUGUUGGACUUCGAAAUGUUGUUCGGCCUAAGUCGUUUACGUCAUUAGCGGUGAGGUAUGGAAUUUCAAGCGAGGGGAAAGCAGUUGCCAGGUACACCGAAGUGAUGGAACGUCUUGGCCAUAAUGUCAUGGUUCAGAACUGUGGACUAAUGGUCAGGCCAGGCAGUCCCUGGCUGGCAGCCACACCUGAUCGUGUUAUUUAUGACCAUCAUGAGCAGCCUUCAUAUGGACUGUUGGAGGUGAAAUGCCCCUGGACGAAGAGAUCCACGACUCUGGAGGAUGCCCUCGAAGAUUCCCAGUUCUGUAUAGAAAUUGUGGACGGUAAACCCAGACUGAAGGAGACCAGUGUGUACUACCCCCAGGUCAUGGGGCAAAUGUAUUGUGCAAACAUGAGGUGGAGUCAC